Molecule: ribosomal RNA, 396 nt
Filed under: uncultured bacterium
Lineage: Bacteria
Description: bacterial SSU rRNA
Rfam family: Bacterial small subunit ribosomal RNA
Source: RNAcentral
CCGGAAACGGGUAGGCGUAAUACCGCAUAGUUUCUUUGAUCGCAUGAUUGAGGAAAGGAAAGACGGCCUUUUGUGCUGUCGCUUUAGUGGAUGGAACCCCGCGGCGUAUUAGUUAGUUGGUGAGGUAACGGCUCACCAAGACGAUGAUACGUAGCCGACCUGAGAGGGUGAUCGGCCACAUUGGGACUGAGACACGGCCCAAACUCCUACGGGAGGCAGCAGUAGGGAAUCUUCCGCAAUGGACGAAAGUCUGACGGAGCAACGCCGCGUGAGUGAAAAGAAGGUUUUCGGAUACGUAAAACUCUGUUGUCAGAGAAGAACAAGUUGGAGAGUAACUGCUCCAGCCUUGACGGUAUCUGACCAGAAAGCCACGGCUAACUACGUGCCAGCCGCGGC